UGUUCCCACCCGGGAUUGAACCGUUGUUGUUGUUGUGAAGCGUGAAUGUCACGUGAAGCACACGUGAUACCCACUACACCACGGAAAC
This 88-nucleotide transfer RNA is filed under the name Cordylochernes scorpioides. RNAcentral describes it as "tRNA-Val". Lineage: Eukaryota; Metazoa; Arthropoda; Arachnida; Pseudoscorpiones; Chernetidae. The record is from RNAcentral.